UACUGUGUCACUGUACUAUGAAACAAGUUUAUGUCCACGUUGUGCCUCCUUUAUCUCCAAUGACCUCGUCAAGGUCUUCCACACUGACCUCCAUACCAUUACCAAUCUAAGAUUGGUCCCUUGGAGCAAUGCUGAAAUCCAUUGCCAGGUUUCCAACUCCAUUCUUCAUUUUAAUAUAUUUUCAUUAUUAACUAAUGAAGUUCAAUUUCUUUCUUCUACUGUAACUAAUUAUAGUUUAUGCAACAAUGUCCAGCAUGGAGAAGAAGAAUGCCACUUAAACACUAUACAUAGUUGUGUCAUCCAUUUCUGGCCUGAUGUGGUAACUUCUAUUAGCCAUAAGUAUUUGUACUCCUCUCCAACUCGUGUUUACUUACUCUACUGUGUAGCAGAAAGAACACUUGGAAUUCAUUGGCUGCACAGAGCAACAAAGCUUAAAGGGGUGGCCCGUUGAAGCACUGUGGAAAAAUUGCAGUGAAAAGCUGAGAUUGAAUGAGGAGAUAAUCAACGAAUGCUAUACUACUGGAUUUGGAUAUAAGGUUGGCUGCAUGUCUUAGUAUUUAAUUAACACUUCUCCUUAGCUUUUUCUAACAUUGAAUUUCCAAAUUAAUAAAAUGCAGCUUCUGCUGCAAUAUGCUAACGAAACCGCACAUCUGAAGCCAGCUCAAGAAUAUGUGCCAUGGGUGGUGGUGAAUAAUCAGCCACUCAGACAAGUGAGUUUUGUUUAUUUCUCCCUCUUGGUGUGACUGUGAAGUAAAAUUUUGUGACAAGCAACUUCAAUAUUUAUUUCAUGGUUGCAGGACUUUGAAAAUUUUGUGAAAUAUGUGUGCCAAGCUUAUAAAGGAGAUCAUAAACCAGCUGCUUGCAAAGCACAAUCAUCCAAUCUCAGCCCAACCAUCUAUGCAUGUAAUAUCUAUAUAUGGAGUAUUUUUCUUUUGAUUUGUAAAUUUGUAAAAAUGCAUUGUAUCAUUUUUCAUUAUGGGUAGCAUUUGCAGUACCCCAGCCGCCAGUAAUUCCAGUGGUAGACUUCUACAAAUUGGCGCUUCAGUGGCCUCCCUCUGUUUGUAGGUCUACUCUCAACUGUAAACUCCCAAUCCCAACUGAUUUCAAAAUACAUGGAAUUUGGGCGCAAGACGCUCAUGACAUGCCGGUGCCCCCGUACGAUGGAAGGAAGCCUUGCACCCAUCCAGCACCUAUUCUAAGCUGGUUACCACUCCAAGUACGCAUACGUACAUUCUUCGCUUGAAACUAUUAAGUAAUUUAUCUGUAAUCUAAUCAAUUUUUUUUUAUUUUUUUAUUUAAAAGCAUUUGUUGAUGAGCGAUGUAGCUCUUUGGAACCAAUUGCCCACACGUUGGCCGAACUUGGCAUCGACAGGGUCAGACAAUGGGUUUUGGACCAAGGAAUGGGUGAAACAUGGCACAUGUUCCGACUUUGCACAACAUCCUCUGUCAUACUUCCAAUCGGCCAUACAACUUAGGACAAAUUUAAAUCCAGGUAUAUCGAAUAAAUUGUUUUUAUUUUCCCUUCACAUUCCUAUUUGUGUUUAAUAUACUUUAUUGUCUCUUAUUUGUUUUAAUGAAUUUUGGGAUUUAGCUAUGGGACUCACACGUGGAUCCACCUAUACGGUCCGACAAGUUGCGGACAUAGUUUUCCGGCUUAUAGGAGCAUCUCCACAAAUUUCUUGCAGUAAACACAGAAGAACUAGAGUUCUACUACUCGGGGAGAUGUUUAUUUGUUAUGGAAGACCGGGGCCAUCCCAUACCUUUGGAACUCCCCAAAAUUGUUCCAACUUAUUUUACGGCCUGUGCAGUAGUGGAUCCGAUACCAUAGAAUUUCCAUAGCCAGCUUUACCACAGUUGUCUCAUAUAUAUUUAAAAAUGUUCAAUGUAAUACCUGAAUUAUCAGUAUGUGUUUUAUUACAGUACUCUAAAUUAUCAUAUAUGUUUUUUUAUCUUUAUAAAAUCCGAUCAACAACUUUGAAUGAUUUAAACUCAAAAUUAUUCGAUUUUGAAAUAACAUUAAUCUGAAUAUAGAUUUAAAAUUACCCAAAACCAAUCCCAUAACAUUAUAAUGUACUUUUGAAAGAAUAUCAAACCAACAAAUUUAACAAAGAAUUUCGCAUAAUUGUCGAAAAAACACUCAAUUUUUUUGAGUUUUUGGGUUUGAGCCAUUAACCUUUUUUUUUUGGAUUGACACCCUUAACGGUAUGAUUUUUUAAUAAAUUAACCCAAUUUUAACAGAAAAUGUGAGUUGAUCGUCGGUCAAACCAUAGGUAAACAAAGUAGCCUAUGUGGUGUGCCACAUAAGCACGAGUUCGGGUGUCGGUUACGUACGAGGAAGGAUUAGCACUAAAGGUGAUCAUGGGCUGGGCCGGGCCAGGCCUAAAAUUUUUUUGGCCCGCGCCCUAGGCCUGGGCUCGACCUAGCCCAAAAUAUGGGCCUGAAAUUUUGUCCAAGCCCGUCCCGAGAAAAAAUCCUAAGCCCGAGCCCGACCCUUUUUUUAAUAAACACCAAAAUUGUAUCUUAAAAAUAAAAAAUAAAAGAAGUAUUUUAAAAAUACUUUAAAAAUAAAAAAUAAAAAAUAUAUAUUUAUUAUAUAAAUACUAAAUGUCUAAUGGGAAAUGGGGAAAUGGAAAAUGUAUUUUAAAAAUAAAAAUAUAUAUUUAUUAUAUAUUCAGGCCGGGCCUGGACCAAAAAAGUUUUGCAAACGGGCCUCAUUUUUUGCCCAAACCCAUAUUUCGGGCCUAUAUUUUUACCCAAACCCUCUCAUAUUUUGGGUGGGCCAUCGGGCCGGGCCGCCCAACCCAUGAUCACCUCUAAUUAGCACCCUCGCGCCCAAAAUUGGUACUUAGUUAAUUAAUUAGUGUCUCGUCGAAAAUUGAAAACUUUAAAGAGAUUUAAAAUACGAUCCUUUCUUAAAAUAUUAAAAAUUUGAGAAAUGAACAUAUUUCACGUUAAUCGAGAAAAAGAAUCGCGUCCCGUGAGUUAGGACACAAUAUCUUAAAUUCUUGAUGGACAAAUAAACGCCUAAAAAUUUAUUUUAAAAGAUGUUUGACUAUAUCGGUUUUAGAAAAAAUCAUAUUCCGUAAGUUAGAACACGAUCUUUUAGUAAUUCUCGAGAUUAUUUAAAAUUUAUGCUUAAAAAUGUUCGGGUAUUUGGAUUUUUUUUAGAAAGUUGAAACCCCGUAAGUUAGGGAACGACUUUUCGAAUUUCAAAAUAUGAAUAUUGCUUGUUUAAAACAUCAUUUUUAAUGAAUCGAGUAAAAUGUAGGACGAUUUUGUACAUAGUAAAAUAAAUACAGAGACGGAUUAAUUAAUGUAGGAUAAAUAGUAAAUAAAAGAGUCGAAUUAAAAUGCUUUUAAAAUAAAAUAGGCAUAAAAAGGUUGACAUUACGCGAAACAACGAAACAAUAAAGGAAAUAUAAAAUAUAUACAAGUGUAUAUAAAAAUUGGGGAUUAAAUUCAAAAAGUAUGUAUUAUAUUAUAUUCGGGACAAGUGAGUUUGUUUAUUUCUCUCUUGGUGUGAUUGUGAAGUAGCAUUUUGUGACAAGUAACUUCAAUAUUUAUUUCAUGGUUGCAGGACUUUGAAAAUUUUUGUGAAAUAUGUGUUGUUGACACCAUUUUUUUGAUAAAACAGGGUCGAUUUGGGUUUUGAAAAAUAAAGACGAAUAUGGAGUCGCCACCAAUUCUUUUUUGAUGAGGUGUGAUCGGGCCACCUCGAAAGAUGGUUUUUUUUUAUAAACAAUUUGAUUUUAUCAAAACAACAAUUUUGGUCUGCAAAAAUAAAAAAGGGGUUCGGGAGUCGGUUACGUACGAGGAAUGAUUAGCACACUCGUAAUCGAGAAAGAAAAUUUUGAAGAAUUUAAAAUACAAACCUUUGUCAAAAUAUUGAAAAUAUUUAAAAAAGAAAAAAGAGCAUAUUUCACGUUAAUCGAGAAAGAGAAUCGCAUCUUGUAAGUUAGGACACAAUGUCUUAAAUUUUUGACACGAAAAUAAAUGCCAAAAAUUUGCUUAUUUGAGAAGAGUUCGAUUAUCUCGGGUUUAGAAAAGAGAUCAUGUCCCGUGAGUUAGAACACGAUCUUUUGUUAAUUCCCAAGAACAUUUAAAAACUUUGUUUGAAAUGAUUCGUGUAUUUGGAUUUAUCGAGAAAACUGAAACCCCGUAAGAUAGGGUACGAUUUUUCCGAAUACCAAAAUACGAAAUGCUAUUUAUUUAAAACAAAUUUUAAUAUAUCGAGUAAAAAAUGAAACACGAUGUCGUAAUAAAAAAUGCGAAAAUAAAUUACAUUGUUGGUAUGCAUAACAAAAUAAUAAUACGAUGAUACAAGCAUAAAUAGCACGAAUGCAAGUAAAUGAAAGAUAAAUACAGAGAUGAAUUAAUUAAUGUAAGAUAAAUAGUAAAUAAAAGAGUCGAAUUAAAAUGCUUUUAAAAUAAAAUAGGCAUAAAAAGGACGACAUUACGCGAAACAACGAAACAAUAAAGGAAAUAUAAAAUAUAUGCAUUAGAGGUGCUCAUGGGCCGGGCGGCUCGACGGCCCGCCCGAAAUAUGGGAGGGUUUGGGUAAAAAUAUAGGCCCGAAAUAUGGGCUUGGGCAAAAAAACGAGGCCCGUUUAGAAAACGGGCCGGGCCGGGCCUCGGGCACCACUUUUUCGGCCCGGGCCCGGCCCGGCCCGAUUUAAUAAAUAUAUUUAUUUUUUUAAUUUUAAAAUAUUUUUUACAUACUUUUUAAUUUUUUAAAAAUUUUAAAAUACUUUUAAAAUACUUUUUUUUAUUUUUUUAAUUUUAAAAUAUUUUUAAAAUAUUUUUAAAAUAUUUUUUAAUUUUAAAAUAUUUAAAAAAUAUUUUUAAAAUAUUUUUUUUAAUUUUUUAAAAUUUUUAAAAUAAAAAUGGGCCGGGCCAGAUCAGGCCCGGGCUUAUGAUUUUUUUCUCGGGCUGGGCCUGGGCAAAAUCUUAGGAUCAUAAUAUUAAUAAUAAAUAAUAAUGAUGCAAUAUAAUAAUUUUAAUAAUGUUAAAAUAAUUAAUUUAACAGGAAAAAUAACUAAAACAGCAGAUUGAGGGUUAAAUUGAAAACAAACGAGGUUUUAGGGCCAAAAUUAAAAAUGAAAAGCACAAAAAAACUAAAUCACAACACGCGUGAAAGGAAGAGGAGCAAAAGGGGAAAUACUCCCUCGCUGACAAACGGCAUCGUUCUAGUGAGGCGCGUGUGCAUGGUUUGGGGACCAAAUUAAAACAGAAGAAAAAUUAUGUAGCCAAAAUUACAAAUAUAUGAAAAAACUGCAUUCAAAACAACACAAAAGUGGAGGCACCAAUUGUGAAAAUAUCCCCCUAAAUGAAGACACGUGGAUCCUCUUUGCGGGUCGGGUCAACACGCGGAUCCGAAGGACAAAACGACGUCGUUUCGAGCUUAAGGACGCCAUUACUUGGCGGUAUAAAAGCUAAUUUUUUAAGAAAAGAAAUCAUUCCCUGUAGUUUGUAAAGAAACAAAAAAAAAGGGAAAAGGGGGUCUCUUUUCUCUGGAUGAAGUCCAGAUUCCGGCCAAAGGGCCGCCUUGUAUCCGCCGCGCCGCCGCCACACCGGCCGCCGUAUGCGUGCCGGAAAGUUCAAAGGUGAGUUUUUUUUUCCGCAUAUUUGUGUAUGUAUAUAUAUAAACUAUUCUUUUUUUAAAAAGAAAAAAAAAUGUAGAUAUAUGUAUGUCCAAAGAAGAAAAGAAAAAACUCAAAAAAAAAAACGCAAGUAAAUAAAAAAACGCAAGUAAAAUAGAACAGACGGAAAAAAGAAAAGAGCAGAGACGAGAAAAAAAAACUACCUUUAAAAUUUUUUGUUUUUUGAUUCCUGUGUUAAAAAAAAAAGCUACAUCACUGUUUGUAGCUUUUAAAAAAUAGAGAGAUUGAAUUCUUAAAAAUAAAAAUUAAGUAUUAAAUUUCAAAAAGUACAUAAAUGUGAUAUCCUUUAAAUUUAAUCUUUUAAAAAUUGGGGAUUAAAUUCAAAAAGUAUCUAUUAUAUUAUAUUUGAUCUUAAUCCUUCCUCACAUGGAUACAAAUGCAAAUAAGUAAAUUUUCCUAAAUUCCAUAUAAUUAUUAUAACCUAUCAAAUGCUUACCUUUUAUGCUUCUUUGCUUCCUGGUUAAGGUUUGGACCAUAGAUGACACCUACCAACUCCCAUUUUAUUCAUUCCUCUUACCCAAUUACAAAGAAAAUCAAAAUAGCAAGAUGCAGAGGCCAAGGUUUGAAUUGCCAGAAGCUUUGGUUAUGGAAAUUCCGUCAAAGCUUCCAGUUAAAUCCCUUACUCGCUUCAACUGUGUUUGUAAGUAUUGGUGUUCUUCUUUUCAAACUCCUCAUUUCAUUUCCAAUAAUUAUCACAACAACCUUGAAAACAACAACCUUAAUCUACUGCUUAGUCGCUGUGAUGGUAACACCUUCCAACGUUAUUUCUCUCAACUUUCAAAUGAAAAAUAUCAAAAUUAUAUAGUAAAACAAAACAUUCACUUGCCCUUUUUUAAGAAUGAUCGCCCCUCUGUUUAUGGUGCUUGUCAUGGAUUGUUGUGUUUACUUGAUCCUUCAAAGGAUAAGGCUGCCAUUUGGAACCCAUCAACCAGAGAGUUUAAAAUCCUUCCACCAUCUUCAAUCCAACGCCCUCCAUAUUUUUCACCAUUCGAAGAAACCUACCUUACUUUAGAUGACGUUUCUUUUGACCACGCUUCUUUUGGGUUUGAUUCUAAAACUGAUGACUACAAAGUCAUACGAUUUGUUACUCUUACUUUUGUUAAUAGUGAAGAACAAUAUCCACAUCCUCAUUUUAUGGACCAAGUUGAGUUGUAUUCUCUUAGAAGUAAUUCCUGGAAGGAAAUUCCAUGUCCUGAUUAUAAACCAACUGAAACAACUUUGGGAAAUAAUUAUGUAGACGGAAUUUGCUAUUGGAAAACAGAGACAGGGGCAUAUCUUGAUUUUAGAGGACUAAUUCUUUCAUUUGACAUGGGGAAUGAGAAGUUCUCAAUUUUACCUAUCCCAGAAUUCGUUGGGUCUUUCCCAGAAUACUAUGUUAAUCUAUUGGUGUUUAAUGGAUCACUUGGUGCUAUUGUUUACCCAACGGAAGGAAUUGACACGUCUUUUGAUUUAUGGGUUACAAGUGAAGGAGUGUGGACUAAACAAUUCAAUAUUAAAUCCAUUUCUGGAGUUGUACGCCCACUGGGAUUUGGAAAAAAUGGUGACUUGUUUCUUAGAGACACAAAUGAUGAAGUACUCCUAUUUGACGCCUCCACCCAAGAGCUUAAGGAGCUUCAGAUUAAUACUUAUCUAGAUCAUUUUCGGUUCACCAUCUCCCUUCACGCUUAUUUAGAGAGCCUGGUUCGUAUCAAUGGAAUACAAGAGAAUAUUGAGAAACAUGUAAUACGUCAACCAGCGAGAGAUGCAUCAAAUGAAUACUAAAUCAAAUGAAUACUAAAUAUGAAGAAGGCAUGAAAUGGAUACUGAAUAUGAAGAGGGAUGCGGAGCUAGAACAUAUAUGUGUAAGAUGUAAUAGGAAUUUUUUGUUGUGAGCUUCUUAAUAUUGCUGUUAUUGUUUGGGUUAUAUGUUUGAGAUGUUAACUAUUUCCUGGUUUCUGUAUUUGGAGAAUUGUUCAGUUUAUAUUUGGUUUUUGUUGGUUAGAUAUCUAUAAGAUUGCUUAGAUGUUGAUAUUGUUUUCUGCGGAAAAAAUUGCAAGUCGAAGAGGAUUUGAUGUUUAAGGUUGUCAUUAACUAAUUAAAAUAAUUGCUGUAAGUGGCAUAAUUUUUAUAACUUAAUCCAAAACAGGUCUCACCUGAUGGUUAAGAUUCUUAAAUAGAUGAAGAUCCGAUGAACAUCACAACAUGAGCAUCGAAUCAGCCACAAAUCCAUGUUGCCAUGAUGCCAUUUCGUUCGAGUGAGUGAAAUUAUGGUACUUUUUUCAAGUUACCUUGUGUUACAAGCUUGUGUGUUAAUUGCUUUAACUACUAUAAAAUUCAAUCUGCAUUCACUUUCAAAAGAAAAUCCUCUCUAUUCUGAAUGAUGGUUUGAGUUUUGCCAUCCCUAAAUAAUAGGGAUGAUAUCUUAAAGAUCAAAUAUGAUUUGAGAAAACUAGCUACACUUGGAUUUCAUUUCUCACUCCAGCAUACGAGUUUGCAAAAUAGCACAGAGACAGUCUGGAUUGCUAAGCUUUUUCUCUAUUAUAGCGCAGCAACGCUUGGAAACUGGAGCUCUUCGGUAUUUGGUUGCGUAUGUACAUGGAGACAGCUUCUGAGCUUCCUUCUCUACGUCAUGCUUCCCACAGGACCAUAAUAAUCAUGAGUUACAUCCACUCCAUGGAAUCCUGCAAUGCUUAUACUCACAAUAAAUACUAUAACCCACAUGUAUUUCACUUGAGUUUCCAUUUCUUGAAUGCAAUAAUCAAUUAUACUUAUCUACAAUUUGAACCCAAACGAAGACAUUUCUCAAAAAUUUUAUACCCAAAAUAGCUGAAAAGUAGCUAAACAAAGAUGAAUUCCACCGAUUACAGUGAUUUGGAGUUACCAGAUUAUGAAGUCAUCAAUUACACCUUGUUUAUACUCUUUCACAAGCAACCUUAUAUAUGAAACUGAUCCCCAAUUUAAGCUUGUUGUUUUAUAUAUCUUGUUUCUCCUUCUAAAGACCCAAUUUCAAGUCUUCCUUUUUAAGGUGUUGUAUAAUUGCUCUCUAGAGAUGAUGACUUUGAAAAUUUGUCACAUGGUUUAUUGAAAGUGACAAAAAACUAUGGUGGUUAACUAUCACCCCAAUGCUUAACAAUAAUGGUUAGCUUUCAGUUGGAGACCCUCUUUAAUUAUAUAAAAAUAGUCAAUUUUCAAUUUUAGUUAAUUUUUAGUUUUGAUCCCUGACCUUUAGUUUCUUUCAUAAUUUGGCGCUUCAACUCCCAACUCCAUAACGCCAUUUUCUGUAACACAGAAGAAAUAGUGUUCUACUACUUCGGGAGAGGUAUAUUUUUAUGGAAGGCCGAGAUUAUUCCAACUCCUUGGAACACCUCAAAAUUGUUCCAACUUAUUUACUGCCAAUUUAAGAGCCGACCAAUGUCAUAGAAUUGUGCUAUGUAUCUGGCAAGCAAUAAAAAAUUUUAUGAAUAACAAUUUAAUAAAAAUGAUUAGCAAAAUUGAAGUAGCUUUCAUGCAUUAAAUGUUUGGCUUUUAUGCCUCUUUGCUACAUUGGUAAGGUUUGAUCAAUUUGCCUUUUAUGUAUUUGGCUGAAUUUGGUUGUAAUGGUUUCGCAGGCAUUUGAUUGAGCUGAGACACGGAGAGAAAGGAGCAAAGCCCCAUCUGAACCUAUUUAUGAUUAGUCAUCAUGACCUUCCCUUCCCAUCCCUUCUCACCUCACUCAUUUAUUACUUUCUGCAACUGCCCCUCCACUUCGCCUUCUUUUUAUUUCACCAUAUAAACAUGUAUGUAUGUAGGUUAGAGUGCGGGAUCUUGUUGUUUUACUUCCAUUUUGGCUGAUUAGUCUAAUCUUCAUGUAAUGAACUAUGCUAUGUUGUUUCGAUUAUUUAAAUAGAAAAAUUGCAGUGAACAGCUGAGAUUGAAUGAGGAGAUAAUCAACAAAUUAAUGCUACGCUACUGGAUUUGGAUAUAAGGUUAGCUGCAUGUCCUAGUAUUUAAUUAACAUUGAAUUUCCAAAUUAAUAAAAUGCAGCUUCUGCUUGCAAUAUGCUAACGAGACUGCACAUCUGAAGCCACCUCAAGAAUAUGUGCCAUGGGUGGUGGCGAAUAAUCAGCCUAGUGAGUUUGUUUAUUUCUCUCUCUUGGUGUGAUUGUGAAGUAGCAUUUUGUGACAAGUAACUUCAAUAUUUAUUCCAUGGUUGCAAAACUUUGAAAAUUUUGUGAAAUAUGUGUGUCAAGCUUAUUAAGGUGAUCAUAAACCAGCUGCUUGCAAAGCAGUCUCAGCCCAACCAUCCAUGCAUGUAAUAUCUAUAUAUGUAAAAAGAAAAACAAACAAGCACGGUGAAUGAUUGGAAAUGUUGAAUGUUGAUAAUAAAUUCAAUUCUUGAGAAACCAAACUCACAAGUAUAAACUACUACAUUACAUCUUGAUGGCUGAGCUGAGAUAGCAAGGAUUUGAUAAAUGAAUCAAGUCUUGACUUUGUUGGUUGUCCCACUGUUUUAUUCCUUUUUAUCUAUGGUAUGAUAUGCAACAAUCACUUAUAGUAUUCCUUUUGCAUUAAAUAUAUAUUGUAACAUUUAGGUUAAUAUAAUUUCAAUUUACUCAACAAAGCAAGGAAUCUUGCUAAGCUAAUCUUUCUGUCAGCUGGUGUGAAUCAUAACAAAAAUAGAUAUAUUUUGAUGCUUGAAAAUACCAGCUAACCAAUUCUACAUUAUAAUUUGGAGACUCAAAGCAUUGUUUUGAUAAAGGAAUUUGCAUUAAUAUUAUGGUGGGUAAGUUGUGUUGGAACUUUCAGCAAAACAAAAUGAGAGACCGAAUGAAGCAAAGAAAAAAAACUUGAAAGUGAAAAAAACUCUGUAAAAAUGUAACUGAAAGUCAUGUAUUUUCAUUCAAAUUUUGAAUAUAUGUGAGUUACAAAAGGUUUGUACAGUUACCUACUAGUUAACUGCUCCCAUUAAAAUUAUACUAAAAAUAUUACAACUUGCAUACAAAAGAAAGCUGUCAUACCAGCUAUUACAUCAAAAUACAAAAGAUUUGGACAAAGUUACAUAGGCACAAAUCAUCCAAAAUAAGUUGCUUCAAUCGGACCAGCUCCAUUUCUUUACUUCAGAACAGUAUAGCAGCUUGACAUUGCUCAAUUUGCUGCUGCUGGUCUUUUGUUGCAAUGCAGGCCAAAGUUCAACAAGUUGAUACGUGAAAGCAAAUCCAUUUUUGUUUACUGUCAAUGGAAUCUUUGACAGUUUUGCACAUGUUUUCUUUUGUCCAUCAAAGCUUUGGGAUUAACUUCUUAUAAACUACAACCUUCAUACAUAAAUAGAUAAAUAAUUGAAAGUUUCAUAAAACGAAAAUGGAAACUCACUAACCAGAUUCUAGCAAUUGAACAAAAAAAAUCAAAUCUUUUCCCUCUCAAAAAAGUACUUACUUUUAAAAGUUUGGGUUUUUAUUCUUGCAAUUUUCUAUUUUCCCCCUUUUUUAUUGAUUGAGUUUCAAUCCCCACAAAGAAUUUAAUUUUGUUUGGCUUUUUGAAAGCUAUUGAGUCACAAUAAACACAAUAACCCACAUGUACUUCACUUGAGUUUCCAUUCAACUUGAACCCCAAACGAAGACAUUUCUCAACAAUUUAUACCCAAACAAAUAGCUAAAAUGUAGCUAAACAAAGAUGAAUUCCACCGAUUACAAUGGACAUGGAUUUGGAGUUACCAUAUCAUUAAGUCAUCAACUACACCUUGCUUCUAUGUAUGCUCUUUCUCAAGCAACCCUAUAUAUGAAACUGAUCCACAAUUUAUAUAUCUUGUUUCUCUAUCCAAAGACCCAAUUUCAACGUUUAUACUUCUUUUAUAAUUUGGUGCUUCAACAUUUAUAAUGUCAUUAUUUAGUCUUAAUAUUUAGGAAAAAUACCAAAAAAAGCCCUAUUUUUUUAAAAUUUACCGAAAUGGGCCCGGUAUUUUAUUAUUUACCGGAAUGGGCCAUUUUCCCCAAAAUCGCGUCCACGUCAGCGCGAUGUCAGGGGACGUGUCAGCAAAUCGCGUCCACGUCAGCGCGCUUUGCUUACGUGGACACAAAUCGCGCCUACGAGGACGCGAUUUUCUGACACAUCAGCAAAACGCGCUGAUGUCCACGCGAUUUGCUGACACGUCCCCUGACAUCGAGCUGACGUGGACGCGAUUUCGGGGAAAAUGACCCAUUCCGGUAAAUAAUAAAAUACCGGGCCUAUUUCGGUAAAUUUUAAAAAAAUAGGGCUUUUAUGUGUAAUUUGCCCCCUUUUUUUGGUAUUUUGCCCCUAAUAAUACAUAUUAAUGUAUUACUGUAAUAUGUAGCUCAAAUUAUGUAUUGUAGUUAAUAUUCAUAAUAUUGUAGCUCAAAUUGUUAAUCCGUCUAUACUAUUGUACUAAUAAUAUAUAUUAAUGUAAUAUUGAAGAGUUAAUUGAUUAAAAAAAUAAAUGCAACAAGUACAAAAAAGAUUCAAAAUUAUUACCAAGAAGAUUUGAACCAAGGUACUAAGGGAAAAGAGCAAGCAUCUUAACCAACUAAGCUAAACUAAUUAAUUAACAUGUUAUAAAAAUACUGUUAUUGUCUUAAUUAUAUUAUUUACGUUCUAAUGAUUUAUCGGACCUAUUCCAUACACGUGUCAAGUCAAAAAAAUAAUACAACAAUUCUGUAAAAAAAAUCCGAUGUUUACUUCAAAUAAUAAGAAAAAUAAUGAUUUGAAUGUUUCAAAAUUCAAAUUUAAACCGAAAAAAUCAAAAUUUAGAGGCAAAAAAGGAUCUUUUUCGAUGAAAACUGUGGCAAACCGCCUUCGGCUGUUUGUCAGUGCGUAGAUCUCGAAAAGUUAUUCGAAAUAAAAAAAUCGUCACAAUCGGACAACCGAGCCAAAAGUUAUGGCCUUUCAAAGUUUUCAAAGCUAAAAAACAUAAACUGUUCAUGAAUUAUUGCUUCCACAUCAGCAAAUCGCGCUUACGUGGACGCGAUUUGUUGCCACGUAAGUAAUCGCGCUGACGUGGAUGCGACUUGCUGACACAUCCCCUGACAUCGCGCUAACAUGGAUGCGAUUUUGGGGAAAAUAGCCCAUUCCUGUAAAUAAUAAAAUACCGGGCCCAUUUCGGUAAAUUUUAAAAAAAUAGGGCUUUUUUUGGUAUUUUGCCCAAAUAUUAAGACUAAAUGAGGUAAUGGACCGAAUAGCACUACUCGAAUGAAAUGGAGGGAUCGAAAUAGAAAAUAUCCUCGCCCUCCAAAACUCAUCGCUUUGCGCGGGACCGAAUUGAAAUAAAAGAAAAAUCAUAGAGUAAAAAUUGAAAAUAAAAAUAAACUGUAUUAAAAAGAUAGAGAAUGCAAAAGGGCUAAAUGCAAGAAUUUCCCAUUAAUAAAAAAGGAAAAAGGGCUACGGUAAAACGACAUCGUUUUGACCACUGGGAUUAAGACCCAAAACGGCGCAAAUGCAAAAAAGAAGCGGUAAAGUUUGAAUUUUCUUCUUUAUUUUUUAUUUUGUCCCUUUUUUUAAAAAAAAAUAAAAUAGAACAGAUGAAAAAAAAGAAAAGAGUAGAAAGGAGAAAAAAAAACUACCUUUAAAAUUUUUUGUUUUUGUGUGCAAAAAAAAAACUACAUCACUGUUUGUGGCUUUUAAAAAAUAGAGAGAUUGAAUUCUUAAAAAUAAAAUUUAAGAAUUAUAUUUCAAAUAUACAAAAAGUACAUAAAUGUGAUAUCCUUUAAAUACAAAAAUAGCACGAGUGCAAGUAAAUGAAAGAUAAAUACAGAGACGAAUUAAUUAAUGUAAGAUAAAUAGUAAAUAAAAGAGUCGAAUUAAAAUGCUUUUAAAAUAAAAUAGGUAUAAAAAGGUUGACAUUACGCGAAACAACGAAACAAUAAAGGAAAUAUAAAAUAUAUGCAUGUGUAUAUAAAAAUAAGAAGAAUAUAUGGAUAUAUAUAUUUAUUUUAAAAUUAUGAAAUAGAAAUAUAUGUCGUAUGUAUAUAUAUACAUAUAUGUAUGUAGAUUAAAAUGUACAUAUGUAUAUGGAUGUAUAUAAGAAUUAUGGAAUAUAGAAGAACAUAUAAAAGUAUGUGUACAUGUGUAUGUAUUUAUGACAAUAAAAAAAAUUCGUAUAUACAUAUAUUAUAAAAUGUGUGCAUGUAUUUAAAAUUAUGAAAUAUGGAAAAUAUAUAUAAGUAUGUACAUGUAUAUCUAUAUGUAUAUAAAUUAAAAUACGUGGAUAUAGAUAUAAGUAUGUGUAUGUAUGAAAAAUGAAAUAUAAAAGUAUAUUUAUAAUAACCUUAAAAAUAUACAUAUAUAUAUAUUAGAAAAGUACAUGCGGUUAUGUAUAUAUAUAUAACAAAAUUUUAGAAUAAAAAGGUACAAACGAGAUAAGGAUAAUAAUAUUAAUAAUAAAUAAUAAUGAUGCAAUAUAAUAAUUUUAAUAAUGUUAACAUAAUUAAUUUAACAGGAAAAAUAACUAAAAUAGCAUAUUAAGGAUUAAAUUGAAAAUAAACAAGGUUUUAGGGUCGAAAUUAACAAUAAAAAGCACAAAAAGGACUAAAUCACAACACGCGUGAAAGGAAGAGGAGCAAAAACGGAAAUAUUCCCUCGCUGACCAAACGGCAUCGUUCCAUUGAGGCGCGUGUGCAUGGUCUGGGGACCAAAUUAAAACAGACGAAAAAUUCUGUAGCGAAAAUUACAAAUAUAUGAAAAAACUACAUUGAAAGCGAGACAAAAGUGGAGGCACCAAUUGUGAGAAUAUCCCCCUAAAUGGUGACACGCGGAUCCUCUUUACGGGUCGGGUCACAAGCGGAUUCUAAGGCCAAAACGACGUCGUUUCGAGCUCAAGUACGCCAACCAAAACGACAUCGUUUUGCUGGGGUGUGGGGGGGGCUAUAAAAGACAACUUUUGAGGAAAAGAAAUCAUUCCCGGCAGUCUGUAAAGAAACCAAAAAAAGGGAAAAGGGGGUCUCUUUUCUCUGGAUGAAAUCCAGAUUCCGGCCAAAGGGCCGCCUUGUCUCCGCCGCACCGGCCGACGUAGCCGAGGCCAGAAAGUUCAAAGGUGAGUUUUUUUAUUUUUAUUUUUUUGUGUAUGUAUAUAUAUAAACUGUUCUUUUUUUAAAAAAAAUGUAGAUAUAUGUAUGUCGAAAGAAGAAAAGAAAAAACUCAAAAAAAAAACACAAGUAAAAUAGAACAGACGAAAAAAAGAAAAGAGCAGAAACGAGAAAAAAAAACUACCUUUAAAUUUUUUUUUGAUUGCCGUGUGAAAAAAAAAACUACAAAACUGUUUCAGGCUUUUAAAAAAUAGAGAGAUUGAAUUCUUUAAAAUAAAAAUUAAGUAUUAAAUUUUAAAUAUACAAAAAGUAAAUAAAUAUGAUAUCCUUUAAAUUUAUUCUUUUAAAAAUUGGGGAUUAAAUUUAAAAAGUACGUAUUAUAUUAUAUUUGAUCUUAAUCCUUCCUCACAUGGAUACAAAUGCAAAUAAGUAAAUUUUCCUAAAUUCCAUAUAAUUAUUAUAACCUAUCAAAUGCUUACCUUUUAUGCUUCUUUGCUUCCUGGUUAAGGUUUGGACCAUAGAUGACACCUACCAACUCCCAUUUUAUUCAUUCCUCUUACCCAAUUACAAAGAAAAUCAAAAUAGCAAGAUGCAGAGGCCAAGGUUUGAAUUGCCAGAAGCUUUGGUUAUGGAAAUUCUGUCAAAGCUUCCAGUUAAAUCCCUUACUCGCUUCAACUGUGUUUGUAAGUAUUGGUGUUCUUCUUUUCAAACUCCUCAUUUCAUUUCCAAUAAUUAUCACAACAACCUUGAAAACAACAACCUUAAUCUACUGCUUAGUCGCUGUGAUGGUAACACCUUCCAACGUUAUUUCUCUCAACUUUCAAAUGAAAAAGAUCAAAAUUAUAUAGUAAAACAAAACAUUCACUUGCCCUUUUUUAGGAAUGAUCUCCCCUAUGUUUAUGGUGCUUGUCAUGGAUUAUUGUGUUUACUUGAUCCUUUAAAGGAUAAGGCUGCCAUUUGGAACCCAUCAACCAGAGAGUUUAAAAUCCUUCCACCAUCUUCAAUCCAACGCCCUCCAUAUUUUUCCCCAUUCGAAGAAACCUACCUUACUUUAGAUGACGUUGAUUUUGACCACGCUGCUUUUGGGUUUGACUCUAAAACUGAUGACUACAAAGUCAUACGAUUUGUUACUCUUACUUUUGUUAAUAGUGAAGAACAAUAUCCACAUCCUCAUUUUAUGUACCAAGUUGAGUUGUAUUCUCUUAGAAGUAAUUCCUGGCAGGAAAUUCCAUGUCCUGAUUAUAAACCAACUGGAACAACUUUGGGAAAUAAUUAUGUAGACGGAAUUUGCUAUUGGAAAACAGAGACAGGGGCAUAUCUUGAUUUUAGAGGACUAAUUCUUUCAUUUGACAUGGGGAAUGAGAAGUUCUCAAUUUUACCUAUCCCAGAAUUCGUUGGGUCUUUCCCAGAAUACUUUGUUAAUCUAUUGGUGUUUAAUGGAUCACUUGGUGCUAUUGUUUACCCAACGGAAGGAAUUGACACGUCUUUUGAUUUAUGGGUUACAAGUGAAGGAGUGUGGACUAAACAAUUCAAUAUUAAAUCCAUUUCUGGAGUUGUACGCCCAUUGGGAUUUGGAAAAAAUGGUGACUUGUUUCUUAGAGACACAAAUGAUGAAGUACUCCUAUUUGACGCCUCCACCCAAGAGCUUAAGGAGCUUCAGAUUAAUACUUAUCUAGAUCAUUUUCGGUUCACCAUCUCCCUUCAUGCUUAUUUAGAGAGCCUGGUUCGUAUCAAUGGAAUACAAGAGAAUAUUGAGAAACAUGUAAUACGUCAACCAGCGAGAGAUGCAUCAAAUGAAUACUAAAUAUGAAGAAGGCAUGAAAUGGAUACUGAAUAUGAAGAGGGAUGCGGAGCUAGAACAUAUAUGUGUAAGAUGUAAUAGGAAUUUUUUGUUGUGAGCUUCUUAAUAUUGCUGUUAUUGUUUGGGUUAUAUGUUUGAGAUGUUAACUAUUUCCUGGUUUCUGUAUUUGGAGAAUUGUUCAGUUUAUAUUUGGUUUUUGUUGGUUAGAUAUCUAUAAGAUUGCUUAGAUGUUGAUAUUGUUUUCUGCGGAAAAAAAUUGCAAGUCGAAGAGGAUUUGAUGUUUAAGGUUGUCAUUAACUAAUUAAAAUAAUUGCUGUAAGUGGCAUAAUUUUUAUAACUUAAUCCAAAACAGGUCUCACCUGAUGGUUAAGAUUCUUAAACAGAUGAAGAUCCGAUGAACACCACAACACAGCACGAGCAUCGAAUCAGCCACAAAUCCAUGUUGCCAUGAUCCCAUUUCGUUCGAGUGAGUGAAAUUAUGGUACUUUUUUCAAGUUACCUUGUGUUACAAGCUUGUGUGUUAAUUGCUUUAACUACUAUAAAAUUCAAUCUGCAUUCACUUUCAAAAGAAAAUCCUCUCUAUUCUGAAUGAUGGUUUGAGUUUUGCCAUCCCUAAAUAAUAGGGAUGAUAUCUUAAAGAUCAAAUAUGAUUUGAGAAAACUAGCUACACUUGGAUUUCAUUUCUCACUCCAGCAUACGAGUUUGCAAAAUAGCACAGAGACAGUCUGGAUUGCUAAGCUUUUUCUCUAUUAUAGCGCAGCAACGCUCGGAAACUGGAGCUCACCGGUAUUUUGAUAAUUAUUGGAAAUGUUGAAUUUUGAUAAUAAAUUCAAUUCUUGAGAAACCAAACUCACAAGUAUAAACUACUACGUUACAUUUUGAUGGCUGAGCUGAGAUAGCAAGGAUUUGAUAAAUGAAUCAAGUCUUGACUUUGUUGGUUGUCCCACCGUUUUAUUCCUUUUUAUCUAUGGUAUGAUAUGCAACAAUCACUUAUGGUAUUCCUUUUGCGUUAAAUAUUGUAACAUUUAGGUUAAUAUUUGACCUUGAACACCUUCAAUAAUUUCAAUUUACUCAACAAAGCAAGGAAUCUUGCUAAGCUGAUCUUUCUGUCAGCUGGUGUGAAUCACAACAAAAAUAGAUAUAUUUUGAUGCUUGAAAACACCAGCUAACCAAUUUUACAUUAUAAUUUGGAGACUCAAAGCAUUGUUUUGAUAAAGGAAUUUGCAUUAAUAUUAUGGUAGGUAAGUUGAUAUGUGAAAGCAAAUCCAUUUUUGUUUAUUGUCAAUGGAAUCUUUGACAAUUUUGGCAUGUUUUCUUUUGCACAUUAAAGCUUUGGGAUUAAUUUAAAUUCUUUUUAUCAAACAUUUGAGAUCUUAUAAACUGCAACCUUCAUACAUAAAUAGAUAAACAAUUGAAAGAUUGGAAACAAAGAAAAGAGAAAUUUCAUAAAACAAAAAUGAAAACUCACCAAUCAGAUUUCUAUUUACAUUAAUUGUUUAUUCUUCCAAUUUUCAAUUUUCAAUUUUCUCUUCUUUUUCUUUUUUUAUCGAUUGAGUUUCAGUCCCCACUAACAAUUUAAUUUUGUUCGACUUUUUUGAAAGCUAUUUGAGUUCCAUAGAACCCUGCAAUGCUUAUACUCACAAUAAACACCAUAACCCACAUCUACUUCACUUGAGUUUCCAUUUCUUGAAUGCAAUAUUCAGCAUAACUAAGACAUUUCUCAAAUAAUAUUCCCUAAAUGCAUUGAAUUUGUAGUCCGGUUCAUUUUACGGUAUGAUGAUAACAACAAAUAAUAUUUUGGCAGAUUAUGUGUAAAAGAAUAUUUUAUGUGUAAUUAAUGUAAUGAUAUGAUAUGAUAUGUUAGAGUUGAAAGAAUGUAUUAUAAGAGUUUAUGUUAAAAUGUUGUGUUUAUUUUAGAAUGUCAUAAUCAAUAUGUACAUGUGGUUUAUUGAAAGCAAUAGAUGAACACUAAUAAAUAUAAAGAUAUACUUAGGGUGAGUUUGGAUGGGCGGUGCGUUUACCUGCGGUUAAUGUAAAAACAACGGUGGCGGUGAGAUUAAAUACUGUAGCAACACUGUAGCGUGAGACAAAAUGUAGGCUAAACGCACCGCACCGCACCCAAUCGCCCAUCCAAACCCACCCUAAGUUUUGCAUUCGAUCCACGUUAAGUUACAAUAAUUAUAUUCAACUUUAAGUUUUAAGAUUACGUUGUAUGCAUAGAUGAAGUCUGCAUGGGUAUAAUGAAUUUGUAUAUUAUAUAAUUAUUGUGGCAUGGUAGUUUAUAUUAUAUAAUUAGUUUAUAUCCUUUUCAUCAAACACUUAAGUGCUUGUAAAGUGCAACCUUUAUACAUUAAUAGAUAAAUUUCAAUUUUAGUCUCUAUACUAUGUUAAAAUUUGAGAUUUAAACUUUAUAUUUGAUCUUUUUUAUAUAGUUUGGUGCUUCAACGUUUAUAAUGUCAUUAGUUAGUUUAAAUAUUUUAUUCUAAUUAAAAUUCUGACAUAAAUUUAAAGGAGUGUUAACAUCGUUAAAUUUUUUUGUUAAAAUCAAGUCCAUUAUAAUUUUAUUUUUUGUGACAUGAUUAUAAUGUUGAAUUCAAAUAUUUUAGUAAUACGUAGGUGCGUCUUCUUCUCUCUAUAAAUAAAUAGAGUCGGGGGUUUUAGAGUUUUUAAACUGUCCAUCAUAGUUCGGUUCUCGAUUUUUUCAUAUUAAUUUUUGGUUUUGAAUUUUUAGACUUAUUUUGACAAAAUUAACUUUGUUUUGUGCAUUUUUUUAAUAUUAUUUGAUAGAUCUGAAAACCCUUUUCAUAAAUAUGACAAUAUCUCUUUAAAUAAUUAUUAAUUUUUAUUGAUGGUGUCCAAUGAUUUGCAUUAAAAUUAAAAUUGACUGAUUUUCUUGAAAAACUAAUCUACUUUAUUUUUGCCAGUAAAUUUGGUAGUGGUUAGCCCUGCAAAUAAGAAUAUUUUAUCGUAAUCCUUCUUCACAUGGAUAAACCUGCCAAUGCAUGAAGAUACCAGCUAACCAAUUCUACAUUAUAAUUUUGAGACUCAAAUCAUUUCUUUCCCAUCACAAAUCACAACUUCAAAAGGCUAUGUUCCUUUCUAAUCUUCUCUUAUAAAAACUAGUGUGUUUUGUAAAAUCAUUUUUUUCUACUUUAAAACAUGAUUAUAUACUUUUAAUAAAUGUGGCAUUGGUUACGUUAGAUAAUCUCAAUCCAAUUCGAUUAUGGAUAAAUCUAAUUUUGAUAAUAAAUUUAAUUCUUGAGAAACCAAACUCAGAAGUAUAAACUACUACAUGACAUCUUAAUGGCUGAGUUGAGAUAGCAAUGAUUAAUCUAUUUGUUAUAUAAAUUAAGCAAACCCAAUCCCAUAACAUUAAUCUAUUUGUUAUAUAAAGAUAUUGAAUGUUAUGGGAUUGGGUUUGGGUAAUUUUAACUAUAUUCAGAUUAAUGUUAUUUCAAAAUCGAAUAAUUUUGAGUUUAAAUCAUUCAAAUUUGUUGAUCGGAUUUUAUAAAGAUAAAAAAACAUUUUGAAAAUAUGUAAUAUUAAUGGGAUUAUUUUAAACUAUGACAUAAAUACUUGAGUCUCAAAAUAAGCACUAGCUCAAUAAAACGCAUAUGAUAAUUUAGAGUACUGUAAUAAAACACAUAUUGAUAAUUCAGAUAUUACAUUAAACAUUUUUAAACAUACAUGAGACAAUUGUGGUAAAGCUGGCUAUGGAAAUUCUAUGGUAUCGGAUCCACUACUGCACAGGCCGUAAAAUAAGUUGGAACAAUUUUGGGGAGUUCCAAAGGUAUGGGAUGGCCUCAGUCUUCCAUAGCAAAUAAACACCCCCCUGAGUAGUAGAACUCUAGUUCUUCUGUGUUUACUGCAUGAAAUUUGUGGAGAUGCUCCUAUAAGUCGAAAAACUAUGUCCGCAACUUGUCGGACCGUAUAGGUGGAUCCACGUGUCACUAUAGCAAAAUAGACUUUUAGCGGCAUUAUUUUAGGCCUUUAACUGUGUUUUUAAGUGCCACUAAAAGUAUUAGUGGCGUUUUAACAAGCGCCGCAAAAAAACUAAUUAAUCUAAACCCUAAACCCUUAAUCCCUAUCCCCUAAACCAUAAAUCAUAAACCCCUAACCCCUAACCCCUAAACCUUAAACCCUAAACUAUAAUGAUAAUUAAUUCAAUAUUUUAAAAUUAAUACUAUAUAUUUUACGAUUAUAUAAGAAAUUAUUUAAUAUAUAAAUUUAAAAAUAAUCAGCAAUGUACCCAAAAAACUUUAAAAUUAUUUUAAAUAAUAGUAUUUUAAUUUUUCCAUUUUAACAAAUAUUUUUCUAUGUUUUUUUAUUUCAAAUUAUUCCUACGUGUCAUUAUUUUUUUUGAAGAUUUUAAAUAGUCAAUUAAAAAUAAAUUGAAUUUUCAAAAGCGCCGCUAAAGGCCCGAGAACUAGCAGAGUUUUUUCAAAAACGCCGCUAAAGCACCGAGCAUUAGCGCUUCUUCAAAAACGCCACUAAAGCCCCGAGCAUUAGUGGCGCUUAUUCAAAAAUGCCGCUAAAGCCCUGAAAGGUCAGAAAACGACGCCGUUGGGCUUAGGUCUUUUGCGGCGUUUUUUGGAAAAACGCCGCUGAUGCUCAUUUUCAGCGGCAUGUUCUGAAAAGUGUCGCAAAUGCUCGAUUUUUAGCGGCAUUUUUUGUCCAAACGUAACUAAAAAUGAAUAUCAAUGUGUUAAGUAUGACUCCUAUUUUCAGUCAAAUUUGAGAAAUAAUCUUUUAGUUAAACUCUGUUUAUUUGUUUCAGUCAAACACUGAUUAGUUUAGACUAUUUUAUUAUUAUUUGACAUAUGAAUUUAGCUUAUAAAUAGGCUCUUUUACAACCUUAGUAAAAACAUCCAUUAGAGAUUAGAACUCAUAACACAUUUAGAGAAUUUUGUGUUUACGUUUUGAGGGUUCUUUGUUUUCGGGUUUUUGGGGCUUAGUUUUAUCUCUAUUUUUUGUACUCUUCAUUAUUUUGCCAUUAUAGUAAAAUUAUCUUUGCCCGUGGUUUUUUUAUCCUCUUUGGAGGGGUUUUUCCACGUUAAAUUUGUGUGUUCAAUUUCUCAGUUUAUUCCGCUAUUUUUGUUACUUGUUGCUUAAUCGGGUCGAUCCCUAACACAAUGGAAUACAAGAGGUUGAGAAAUAUGUAAUACGUCAACCAACGAGAAAUGCAUCAAAUGAAUACUGAAUAUGAAGAAGGAUAUGCAUGAAAUGGAUAUUGAAUAUAAAGAUGGAUGGAGAGGGAGAACAUAAAUGUGUAAGAUGUAAUAGGAAUUUUUAGUUGUGAGCUUCUUAAUAUUGCCAUUAUUGUUUGGAUUAUAUGUUUGAGAUGUUAGCCAUUGCCUGGUUUGUGUAUUUAGAGAAUUGUUCAGUUUAUGUUUGGUUUUAGUUGCAUAGAAAUCUAUAAGAUUUCUGCCAUAGUUUGAAAAUAUCAUUCUCCACGGUGGUGAAAUGAAUAUAAGCUUAAAAUGCAUAACAAAAUGGAAUUACAAAAUAUUGCAUUAUAUACCCUAAAAAAAAGCUCAUAAUAAACAAUUGAAAGUUUGGAAUCAAAGAAAAAGGGAAAUUUCAUAAAACGGAAAUGGAAAUUCACCAAUCAGAUUCAAGUGAUUGAACAAAAAAAAAUAUCAAAUCUUUUCCCUCUCAAAAAAGGUAUUUACUUUCAAAAGUUUAAGUUUUUAUUUACAUUAAUUGUUUUUUCUUCCAAUUUUCCAUUGAUUGAGUUUCAAUCGUGCUUUACAUUAGAAACCAAGAAUUUAAUUUUGUUUAACUUUUUGAAGGCUAUGAGUUUCGUUACUUUUUAUUAGGUUGUUUUCUGUUAAUUAAGAAAUUAUAAAUAGGUUAAAAUUUUAAUGCAAUGAAAGCUAAUUUUCACUUUAAUCUAUUCAACAUUUUUAAAAUUAACCAAUGUUGGAAAAUUAGAAAUUAGUUCCAAUUAUCAAAAUUCAUAAUGUUGAUAUUGUUUUCUGAGGAAAAAAAUUGCAAGUCGAAGAGGAUUUGAUGGUUAAGGUUGUCAUUAACUAAUUAAAAUAAUUGCUCUCAGUGGCUUAAAUUUUAUAAUUUAAUUCAAAACAGGUCUCACCUGAUGGUUAAGAUUCUUAAACAAAUGAAGAUCCGAUGAACUUCACAACACGAGCAUCGAAUCAGCCACGAAUCCAUGUUGCUAUGAUCCCAUUUCGUUCAAGUGAGUGAAAUUAUGAUAUUUUUUUCAAGUUACCUUGUGUUGCACGGAAGCGUGUAAAAGAGUAAAAUUAUUGUACUAAAUAAUCACACUAAGUUCAAUUCUCAGGAAAGAGAGGUGGAUCACGAGAAUCACUUAAGUACCAUGUCUUUCCUAAUCAGAAUAUCCCUCUAUCGUAAUUUAAUAGCACAAUAAAUCACUACAACCACACUCGUAAAAUAUGCAAAAUAAACAAUAAAGAACACUAGAAUUUUAACAAGGUUCAGCAAAUUUUGCCUACGUCCUCGGGCAAUACUAAAUAUAUUUCACUCCAAAAUACAAGUAAAAUUUUACAAAUAAGGAGAGAGAAUAAUGUCUUAAGGAGAGAAUGACAUAUGUGGGAUGUAGAAAAUGAGAAAUAGUUAGGCCUAUUUAUAGUUGAGGUUCAAGGAUCAACUUGCAAAGUCUCUAUACAAUUAGGAACCAAAAUUGAUAUUAUCCCAUGCCAAAUUUCAACCCAAUUUCGGUGCCUUAAAUGCUCAGAUUGUCGGUGCCAAUAUCCUGACACCAAUAUAUUUGAAAAGUCAAAGAUAGUUGCCAUUUGCCAAUACCUUGUGUGUUAAUUGCUUUAACUAUUCACUUUUCAAAAGAAAAUCUUCUUUAUUCUGAAUGAUGGUUUGAGUUUUGCCAUUCCUAAGGAUGAUAUCUUAAAGAUCAAAUAUAAUUUGAGAAAACUAGCUACACUUGGAUUUCAUUUCUCACUCCGGCAUACGAGUUUGCAAAAUAGCACAGAGACAGUCUGGACUGCUAAGUCUUUUCACUAUUAUAGCGCAGCAACGCUCGGAAACUGGAGCUCUCCGGUAUUUGGUUGCGUAUGUACAUGGAGACAGCUUCUGAGCUUCCUUCUCUACGUCAUGCUUCCCACGGGACCAUAAUAAUCAUGAGUUACAUCCAGUCCAUGGAAUCCUGCAAUGCUUAUACUCACAAUAAAUACUAUAACCGUUGGGUUGCAAAUAAAGAGUUUUAAUAACUCUUAAAAAUUAAACAUCGCUGUAACCAAAAGAAUACAAUUAAUAUAUUAAAUGCUUCUUUGCUUCAUUGUUAAGGUUUGCUCCAUAAGCACUCUGAUUGUCCUCCCAAAAUGGCAUGGUUAUGUUAGGUAUGGGUCCCACUAUGUGGGAAAAACCCAUAUUUUCUGCCACAAUGUUUUGCCUUCUUUUUGGUUUUGUCAAAAGCCAAUUUUUUUGGCCUUUUAACGUGGGAGUGGGCAGCAUUCUUAAUUGAGAGCAAAAAUUCUCAAUUACAUCCAGAGAGAAACAGAGAGUGAGAUUGAAGUAGAAAAAUCAGUUUUUCAAACUUGGUGCAGCAGUGAUCAACUCCUCGAUCGAAGGUCUAUCCGUGGUUCGAUUGAGCAGAUUUUUGGACAGCAGCUAGGUGAUAAGGUGUUCUUGACUUUGUACGGUCGGAUUUUUCAUCUGAGACUUGUAGCGUCGGAAAUACCCAUUUUUCAGCAGCUACAUUUUUGGUGAUGUUCUCUCAUUUUUCUCUCUUUUGCUAAAGAUUACAUAUUGUUAGCCUUGUCGGAGUUGAAUGCUUGUUGUAGGCUUGAUAUUGUGAUCUUGUAGUCGAACAUUUGAUAAUAGUAGAGCUCUUUAUCGGACUCUAAAGUCCCGUGGUUUUUACCCUUAAUUUAGAGGGGUUUUCCACGUAAAAAUAUCGGUGCCUCUAUUUAUUUUUGUUGUGGUUGCAUUAGUUGAUUUGUGGUUGAUUAAGGUUGCUAGAGAACAUAUCUUGUGCUAUUGUGCUUGCCAUAAUUUUUGACAGGAGUUAUAAGGAGAGAAAGAACACCGGUUGUGCUUUCGCUUUGUUUCGGUUGUUCGGUUUCUUCCCAACAAACUGGUACCAGAGCUUGGUUAUUGUGUCAGGUAAUUAUGGAAAUUAAUACGAGUAAGAUGAUUAUGUUGAAUGGCACAAAUUAUCAACUUUGGCGGAAUAAAAUGAAGGACUUGUUGUUUGUGAAGGCUUUGCAUCUUCCGGUCUUUACUACUCAAAAACCCGAUUCGAAAAGUGAUAAAGAAUGGGAAUUUGAGCAUCAACAAGUGUGUGGCUUUAUUCGGCAAUUUGUUGAAGAAAAUGUUUACAACCACAUUGAUCAAGAGACACAUGCUCGAACAUUGUGGGAGAAGCUUGAAAGCUUGUAUGCUUCGAGGUCGGGCAAUAAGAAGUUAUUUUUGCUGAAGAAAAUGAUGGCGCUGAAAUAUAAAGAAGGAAUGUCUAUAGCUGACCAUGUUAGUGAAUUUCAGAGUGUGAUGAAUCAGUUGCUUGGUAUGGGUGUCAAAUUUGAUGACGAGAUUUUAGGACUUUGGUUGCUUGCUACUCUACCAGACUCUUGGGAGACCUUUCGAGUCUCACUCAUUAAUUCUGCCCCACGGGGUAUUAUUACUUUGGAUUUGGCUAAGAGUGGUGUGUUGAAUGAAGAGGUUAGAAGAAGAUCUCAGGGUUCUACAUCACAGUCCGAGGUGUUGGUUAUUGAGAACAGGGGGAGAAACAGAGACAAAGAUGGAAAGGGUAGAGAUAAAAGCCGAAGCAAGUCAAGAUCGAGAUACACGAAUCUUGAGUGUCAUCAUUGUGGUAAGAAAGGUCAUAUCAAGAAAUAUUGCUUCAAGUGGAAGAAAGAGAACAAAGGUGGUGGUGAUAAACACGAUCGGAAUGACGAUGAAAAAUCUGAGCGUGUUGCUACUGUUACUCGUGAAGAUUUGUUAGUUAUUUGUGAUGAGAAUUUGGUCAACCUAGCAUGCGACGAGACUAGUUGGGUGAUUGAUACUGGUGCAUCACUUCAUGUCACGUCGAGGAAGGAAUUCUUCACAUCUUAUACUCCUGGUGAUUUUGGGGUAUUGAAGAUGGGUAAUGAUGGUUUGGUUUCGGUUAUUGGUAUGGGAGAUGUUAGCUUGGUAAGUAACAAUGGAACAAAGUUAACUCUCAAGGAUGUCAGACAUGCACCGGAUGUCCAUUUGAAUUUGAUUUCUGCAGGAAAGCUUGAUGAUGAGGGAUUCUGUAACACCUUCAGUGAAGGGCAGUGGAAGCUGACUAAAGGCUCAUUGGUUGUGGCUCGAGGAAAGAAGAGCUCAAAUUUGUACUUGAUGCAAGCUUUGACUUCUCGAGAGACGGUGAAUGUGACACUGAAUGACAACUCAACUGAGUUGUGGCAUAAACGACUCAGUCACAUGAGUGAGAAGGGGCUUAGCUGUUUAGCGAAGAAGAAUCAACUUUCGGGUUUAAAGAAUGCUACACUGAAGAAUUGUGCUCAUUGUCUAGCAGGAAAGCAGAAAAGAGUUUCAUUUAGAAGCCAUCCUCCUCAUAGGAAAUCAGAGUUGCUAGAGUUGGUCCAUUCAGAUGUUUGUGGUCCGAUAAAAGUAAGAUCACAUAGUGGUGCACUUUACUUUGUGACUUUUAUUGAUGAUUGUUCAAGAAAGCUAUGGGUUUACACUUUGAAGUCUAAAAAUCAAGUCUUUGAGGUGUUUAAACAGUUUCAAGCAUCAGUUGAAAGGGAAACUAGGAAAAAGUUGAAGUGCAUUCGUACUGAUAAUGGUGGCGAGUACAUAGGGUCGUUUCAUGAGUAUUGUCUGCGACAGGGAAUCAGACAUCAGAGAACACCACCAAAGACUCCACAGUUAAAUGGGUUAGCUGAAAGAAUGAACCGAACAUUGAUUGAGAGAGUCAAAUGUUUGUUGUCAGAUGCAAAGUUACCAAGAUCGUUUUCGGCUGAAGCUUUGAAUACAGUGACACAUGUGAUAAAUCUGUCUCCUAGUGUUCCUUUGAAAGGUGAUGUGCCAGAUAGAGUUUGGUUUGGUAAAGACGUGUCAUAUGAUCACCUACGUGUGUUCGGUUGUAAAGCAUUUGUUCAUGUUCCAAAGGAUGAAAGAUCCAAGUUGGAUGCCAAGGCUCGACAAUGCAUUUUUAUUGGUUAUGGUCUAGAUGGUGAGUUUGGUUAUAGACUCUAUGAUCCAGUUCAGAAGAAACUCGUGAGAAGCAGAGAUGUUGUCUUCAUUGAGGAUCAGACCAUUGAUGACAUUGAUAAGACGGAGAAAGUGCAUUCACAAGGUAGUGGUGACUUGAUCGAUGUGAAUCCGGUUCCCCUAGACUCUUCACCAGAUCCUAUCCAGGAUGAUGUGCAUGGUGAUGUUAGUGGUGACCAUCAGACUAUAGGUGACUUUGAUACUCCCAUGGAUGAUGUUGUGAAUGAUCAACAACAAGCACCUAUAGCUCCACCAGCAGUUCCACUUCGAAGGUCUUCCAGAGAUCGACGAUCUUCUGUCAGGUAUUCUCCUGAUGAAUAUGUUCUUUUGACUGACGGGGGAGAACCUGAAUGUUAUGAAGAGGCUAUGGAGAGUGAAUGCAAAGAUCAGUGGGUUGAAGCGAUGAAAGACGAACUUCAAUCUUGCAUGAGAACCAUACUUUUGAAUUGGUGAAACUGCCUAAGGGCAAAAGAGCUUUGAAGAAUCGGUGGGUUUACAGGUUGAAGCAAGAAGAGAAGUCUUCAUCUCCACGAUACAAAGCUAGAUUGGUCGUCAAGGGUUAUACUCAGAAAAAGGGGGUUGAUUUUGAAGAAAUAUUUUCUCCGGUUGUGAAGAUGUCCUCUAUCAGAACUAUACUGAGUUUGGCAGCUUGUUAUGACCUAGAGGUUGAACAAAUGGAUGUGAAAACUGCUUUUCUUCAUGGUGACUUGGAAGAAGAGCUUUACAUGGAGCAGCCAGAGGGUUUUGUUGCACAAGGGAAAGAGGACUAUGUGUGCAGAUUGAAGAAGAGCUUGUAUGGUUUGAAGCAAGCUCCAAGGCAAAGGUACAAGAAGUUUGAGUCUGUUAUGGGGGAGCAAGGCUACAAGAAGACUACUUUUGAUCAUUGUGUGUUUGUUAAGAGAUUCUCUGGUGAUGAUUUUAUUAUUCUUUUGCUCUAUGUUGAUGAUAUGCUUAUUGUUGGUCAGAAUGCUUCUAGAAUUGAGAAGUUGAAACAAGAGUUGAGUAAAUCCUUUGCAAUGAAGGAUUUGGGGCCAGCAAAGCAAAUUCUUGGCAUAAGACUGACACGUGAUAGAAAGGCCAAGAAAUUAUGGUUAUCACAAGAGAGGUACAUUGAGAAAGUACUUCAAAGGUUUAGUAUGGACAAAGCUAAAGCGGUGAAUACUCCCUUUGCUAUGCACUUUAGAUUGAGUGUUAAGCAUAGUCCUUCCACAGAAAAGGAGAAGGAAGAGAUGCAGAAAAUUCCUUACUCUUCAGCCGUGGGUAGUUUGAUGUACGCAAUGGUUUGCACGAGACCAGACUUGGCUUAUGCCGUUGGUACAAUUAGUCGGUUUCUUUCUAAUCCAGGCAGAGAGCAUUGGAAUGCAGUGAAGUGGAUUAUGAGAUAUCUUCGUGGCACUUCCAACAUGAAACUUUGUUUCGGCAAUGAGAAACCUGUUCUUGUUGGGUAUACAGAUUCAGACAUGGCCGGAGACAUUGACUCGAGGAGAUCUACUUCAGGUUACUUAAUCACUUAUGCAGGGGGAGCUGUGGCAUGGCAAUCGAGACUGCAAAAGUGUGUUGCAUUGUCCACCACCGAAUCAGAGUUCAUUGCAGCAAUCGAAGCGUGUAAGGAGAUGCUUUGGAUGAAGAAGUUUGUGCAUGAGCUUGGUUUUACUCAGGAGAAGUAUGUCCUGUACUGUGAUAGCUAGAGUGCUAUUCAUCUUGGUAAGAACUCAACUUUUCAUGCUAAAUCUAAGCAUAUUGAUGUGAGGUACCAUUGGAUACGAGAUGUUCUUGAAGCUAAGCUGUUAGAGCUUGAGAAGAUACACACUAAUGAUAAUGGUGCUAAUAUGUUGACGAAGGCCUUACCAAGAGGAAAGUUUGAAGCAUGUUGUUUGACCUCCGGCAUGGAGGCAUUCCCCACAUAGUUGGAGGGGGAGAUUUGUUAGGUAUGGGUCCCACUAUGUGGGGAAAACCCAUAUUUUCUGUCACAAUGUUUUGCCUUCUUUUUGGUUUUGUCAAAAGCCAAUUUUUUUGGCCUUUUAACGUAGGAGUGGGCAGCAUUCUUAAUUGAGAGCAAAAAUUCUCAAUUACAUCCAGAGAGAAACAGAGAGUGAGAUUGAAGUAGAAAAAUCAGUUUUUCAAGCUUGGUGCAGCAGUGAUCAACUCCUUGAUCGAAGGUCCAUCCGUGGUUCGAUUGAGCUGAUUUUUGGAUAGCAGCUAGGUGAUAAGGUGUUCUUGACUUUGUACGGUCAGAUUUUUCAUCCGAGACUUGUAGCGUCGGAAAUACCCAUUUUUCAGCAGCUACAUUUUUGGUGAUGUUCUCUCAUUUUUCUCUCUUUUGCUAAAGAUUACAUAUUGUUAGCCUUGUCGGAGUUGAAUGCUUGUUGUAGGCUUGAUAUUGUGAUCUUGUAGUCGAACAUUUGAUGAUAGUAGAGCUCUUUAUCGGACUCUAAAGUCCCGUGGUUUUUACCCUUAAUUUAGAGGGGUUUUCCACGUAAAAAUAUCGGUGCCUCUAUUUAUUUUUGUUGUGGUUGCAUUAGUUGAUUUGUGGUUGAUUAAGGUUGCUAGAGAACAUAUCUUGUGCUAUUGUGCUUGCCAUAAUUUUUGACAGGAGUUAUAAGGAGAGAAAGAACACCGGUUGUGCUUUCGCUUUGUUUCGGUUGUUCGGUUUCUUCCCAACAGGUUAUACACUUAUACUUGCAAGUGUCAUCUUAUUAAUAACAAACUUUGCAGCCCUUGAGACCCUAACAGUUGUCUACAUUCAAUAAAUUUUACAAUGAAGUUAUACUAUAUGAAUAUGAUAUAAAAAAAUUAAUUAAUAUAGACAUUAAAAAAGCAUGAAUACAAAGCAUGUUCUGAAUAUUUUGAAAAAAAAACGUACACAUUAAUAUAUCAAAAUUUAUGAUUCACUAUUUUGUUAUUUACUUUCACAGGAUUAUGGUUUCUUUUUUAUAAAUUGGGUCCAACUUUCCAAAUUUUUGUACCAAAGUCUUAGUAAGUAUCCAAUAAAUGUUGUUGGAAAAAGUCAUAUAGUAAGGGUCCAACUUUGAUGAAAUAAUGUAACAAUGUUUUUAUUAAUUUCAUAAAAUAGAAAUUGAAUAAUUGAAUUUAAAAUUUAUGAACGUAAAAUUAGAAAUCAAAGGAUUUCAUUAAGAAUUUAAGUUGAUGUUGAAAACCAAAGAAGUAAGAAUAUGUGUAGGAUUUCAUUAAGUAAGAAUAGUUUAUUUAAUUAAUUAGGAAUUUUAAUUUUAUUUAGUAAAUCAAUAUAUAAUUAUAAGUCGGAUGAUCAAUUUAAAAUAGUUUUGAGGGUAUAUAUAUCUUUCACUAUUUAGAGUUUUGAAGUUGGUGUUUUUAUAUAUAGUAUUGAUUAGUUAGUUCGGAUAAUUAGUAUAUGAAAGAACAAAAAAAUGAUAUACUCAAAUGGAACUAAAUUAGCUCCGAAUAAUUGAAGUUUGAAAUCAAGGACCAGUGCCUAGAAGUGGGGCAUCAUGCGGAUAUUCUAUCUUGGAACAUUUGCGGGAUAGGGUCAGAUCAAAACAAAUGGCAUUAGGGGAUGUGUUUAUGUGAUGUGGCCGAGUUGAAAGAUUCAACUUGUGAUGGCGUUGGAUUCAGUUUGUUGUGCUCUCUUUUCGUUUAUUUUGAGGAGCUUGUUCAUGAACAUGUUUGCUUGGUUGGCAUUGAGAUGGGGGCUUAUCUUGCGUGCUACAUCAUUAUGAUCAUUUGGUCGGCUCAAAUUGAUGUCAUUCUUAGUAAGUUGGUUAUGAACUUGGAUGGCUUCUGCUCUGUACCAUUUUGAGGACUUUGUAAUGGCUUUGGGCUUUAUGCGAUGAUUUGUUUAUCACUUGGCUAGCUUUUGUCACUGGUUCAUGGAAUUUUCUGCUUCUAUUUUUGUUGAGCUUAACGAUGAAUGGAGCCUGGGUUGGACGCAUGGGUAAUUUUUCUUUCGUAAUUCUUGGAAUCUGAAUGCUUCUACGUUCUCCGAUUUAACAGGCACUCUCGUUUGCCUCAUUUUGUGUGGUGAUAAUUUGGAUUUGGAUCUAUGAUAAGCUACGUUGAGGAUGUAAUAAAAUAUUCGUGUAAAAUUUUUUUAUUAGUAUUAAUUUUACAUUUUAUCUUUAAAAUAAUUUUUAUUAAAAAAUCAUAUUUUUUUACCGUUAGUAUAUUUUUUAAAUUCAAAAUAAAUGUUGACAAGAAUCAAAAGAUAAUUGAAUCAACUAAGCAAGCAAAGAAGCUAACCCAUAUAUAAAAGAUUGAUAAUUAAAUAAAUUAUGAAGGGAUGAAAGUUAAUAACAAAUUUGAUUACAGUAGGCAAUUUUGAGUAUGGUGAGUGGCAGUGACUACAAGGAUCUAAAGUCAUUUUUAAAUUUAAACCGAACAAAUAUAUUCGAUUCGAAUUUCAUCUCGUUCGACUCGAUUUGAGAAAAUUUCAAAUUGAGUUAAGAUGAUAAAAUAUGAUUCGUCAACUUGAUUAACUCGAAACUUUUCCAUUCGAUUCGAUUUGAUCGAACGUUCACCCCUAGUCGGGCAUACAUAGUCCAACAACUACUCAAGACUAAUGUAUGUCACAAAUGAAAAAAUCUAUAAGCGGAUUCAAGAUCUAUUCUACUUAGUUUCUCCCCGAUUUAUGUCAGUUCAGUCAGUCACAUUUAUACAUUUAUCUUCUAGGAGUCAUUCAAUCCGAUGCACAAGACAAAAGAUCUCUCCAAUUAAACUUAAUAGAUGACAUAUAAGUUUUUCAACCAGUUUGCUAAAUUUUGGUUAGAGUGAGAGUUUUUUUACUAACUUACCUUAUUUGUUUAAAAAUUUUGCUGAUUAUAAAUAUCAUAUGAAACUGAUUUUCCUACCAUAUCAAUUUGCCUUGUUUUUUUCCAAGUUUAUUGGAUGGUGGUUAGAGAGCGAAGAGUAAAUAUUAUCUUUUACACGCAAAUAAGGAAAUUUUUUUCGAAAAUGCGUGUAAAUAAUGUAUUAAAUACUUUCCUUUUAUGCUUUUUUUUCUUCAAGGUUAAGGUUGCCGCCAUAGAUGACUCCUAACUUUUAGGAAAAUAUAGUUACCAUAGAUGCAGAUGCCAAGAUUUGAAGUGCCAGAAGCUUUGGUUAUGGAAAUUCUGUGUAAAGUUCCAGUUAAGUCCCUUAUUCGUUUCAACUGUCUCUGUAAGUAUUGGUGUUCUUCUUUUCAAACUCCUCGUUUCAUUUCCAAGCAUUAUCACAACAACCUUAAAAACAAUAACCUUAACCCCGUUCUCCAACGAUUUGAUGCCAAUGCCAACAUCCCUUAUUUCUCUCAACUUUCAGUUGAAAAAGAUAAAAACUUUUUAGUAAAACAAAACAUUCGCUCUCCUCUUUUUAUGCACAAUACCCCCUAUGUUUGGGGUGCUCGUCACGGAUUAUUUUGUUUACAUAGUCCUUGCAUGGAUAAUACGGAGGUUUCCAUUUGGAACCCAUCAACUUGAGAAUUUAAAAUCCUUCCUCCGUCCUCAGUCCAACGACCUACUUACCUAGGCCUUACUUGUGGCUUUGUUCAUUUUGACUGCGGUGCUUUCGAGUUUGAUUCUAAAACUGAUGACUACAAAUUCAUACGAUUUGUUACUCUUUCUUUUGUUGAUAGUGAAUGUGAAACUUCAAGUGGUGAUGGUAUGUCCCAAGUUGAGUUGUAUUCUCUUAAAUGCGAUUCUUGGAAGGAAAUUCCAUCUCCUAAUUAUAGACCAUUUGAUUUAUAUUUGAGUAACAAUUACUUAGAUGGAAUUUUUUAUUGGCAAACAACGACGGGGAACGCUCCUUAUGAAAAUUUUUUGAUUCUUUCAUUUGACACAGCUAAUGAGAAGUUUUCGGCUUCACCUAUCCCAGAAUUUGUCGGGAUUUACCCACAACAUGAUAUCCUCGAGGUAUUGGUGUUUAAUGGAUCUCUUGGUGUUAUUGCUUACACGGUGGAAAGAAUUGACAUGUCUUUUGAUUUAUGGGUUAUGAAUGGAGAAGUAUGGACUAAGCAAUUCAGUAUUGAAUCUAUUCCUGGAGUUGUCAGACCAUUAGGGUUUUGGAAAAAUGGUGAAAUGUUUCUUUUAAACACAAAAUAUGAAGUAGUCUUGUUUGAUCCCUCCACCCAAGAACUUAAGGUGCUUCGGAUCAUCACUUACCUGGAUCAUCAUCGAGAGUACGUCUCUCUCUUUCUUUUCUUUUUUUUUUUAUGUUGAGAGCCUAAUUCCAAUCAAUGGAAUACAAGAGCAUAAGAGUCAUAUAAUACGUCAACUAAUUAAAGAUGCAUCAAAUAAACACUGAAUGUAAUCUUUCCUAGUUUAUAUUCAUAAUUAUCAUAAUGAUUUUACAACCUUCCAAGCUCUCUUGCUUUUUUUAUCAAAGGAUGGAAUGAUGUAGUCAAUUGAAAAACCCUUUUGAUGAUAAUUAUUAUUGAAAUUAGUUUAAUAUAUUUAAAAUGCUUAUAUACAGGGAAACAUUACCUUUAUAAGUUCUUCCUUUUACAUUUGAUAAUGCAACAAUUAGUUUCUUAUCAAUUAAUUCUUCUAACAAUUGCCCUUCAAUUUCUACAAGACUUCCAGUUGCAUAUACAUCACAAAUAUUUUAAAAAUAAUAAUAAUAAUUUAUUAAACCUAAAUUAAACACUAAACGUUAACAUUAUUAUCUUUGGAUAUCAAAAUAUAUAAAUUUUUUCAAAUAUAGGUAUACUAGAUUGGACCAAAAAUAACAUAAGUACCACCUUAGAAAAAGGUGUCAAAUUCUGGUUCCAAGCGAUAUAUCAAGUCAAAAUUAGAUAUUUAAACAUAAUUGAUUUGAAGAUAGAGAUUGCUAAAAAUUCUCAGGUAUUCAUUUGAACCUUUUGAAAAUUUUUAAAGUUAGCAAUUGGAUUUGAUCGUUUCAAGCAUGGAACUAAACUUUAAUUUGGCAUAUCUACUUACAUUACAAAAAGGCAAAAUGGGGGAUUAGAUGCUUAAAAAGUUACCCUUGCUUUCCCUCAUGUUAGAAACUUGAGCACUAGUUGUUGAAUAUUUGUAAGUUGGAUAUGUAAAGGUUAAGUCAAAAGGAAAAGAAAAGCAAAACCUUGGAAUUUUUAGAGACGAAACUUGAUUAAAUAAUUUUGGGAUGGUAUUCAUCCCUAAUUAUUUUCGUAUGUUUUUACGAAUUUGGGGACGGAAUUCGUCCAUAAAGCUUUAGGGACGAAAUUAAUCUAUGAAGAUUAUUUUUCGUAAUUAUCCCUAAAAAAAUUUAAAAAUAGUUUUUAAGAAUGCAUGUAAGGGACUGCUUAAAUUGUCUCCAAAUCUAUUAGGGACAUUUUUAAUCUUCCCAAAACCCCUAAAUUUUGUAGUGAACUAUGCCAUAUAAACUAACUUACCUUAUUUGUUUACAAAUUUUUCCAUGAAUUAUAUACAUCAUAUGAAACUGAUUUUCCUAAAAUACUAAUUUGCCUUGUUUUUUUCCAAGUUUAUUGGAUGGUGGUUAGAGAGAAAAGUGUAAAUAUUAUCUUUUACAGGCAAAUUAGAGAGAGAGAAAAAAGAGAAGAAGAUGCAGAUGCCAAGAUUUGAAGUGCCAGAAGCUUUGGUGACGGAAAUUCUGUCUAAGCUUCCAGUUAAGUCCCUUAUGCGUUUCAACUGCAUUUGUAAAUAUUGGUGUUCUUCUUUUCAAACUCCUCAUUUCAUUUCCAAGCAUUAUCACAACAACCUUAAAAACAAUAACCUUAAUCCCCUUCUCCAGCGAUUUGAUGGCAACGCCAAUCUCGCUUAUUUAUCUCAACUUUCAGUAGAAAAAGAUGAAAACUUCUUAGUAAAACAAAACAUUCGCCUUCCUUUUUUCAUUCACGAUUCCCCCUAUGUUUGGGGUGCUUGUCAUGGAUUUUUUUGUUUACAUAGUUCUUUCAUGAAUGAUAUGGAGGUUGCCAUUUGGAACCCAUCAACUAGAGAAUUUAAAAUCCUUCCUCAGUCCUCAGUCCAACGACCUACUUACCCAGGCCUUACCUGUAAGUAUGUUAUUUUUGCCUGCGGUGCUUUCGAGUUUGAUUUUAAAAAUGAUGACUACAAAUUCAUACGAUUUGUUACUCUUUGUUAUGUUGAUACUGAAUGUGGAAUUGAAAGCCCUGAUGAUGUGUCCCAAGUUGAGUUGUAUUCUCUGAAAUGCGAUUCUUGGAAGGAAAUCCCAUCUCCUAAUUAUAGCCCACUUGAUUAUUGUUUGAGUAAUAAUUGCUUAGAUGGAAUUUGUUAUUGGCAAAUAGUAAUGGGGAACUCUCCUUAUGAAAAAGUAAUGAUUCUUUCAUUUGACAUGGCUAAUGAGAAGUUUUCGGUUUCACCUAUCCUUGAAUUUGUCGGGUUUUUCUCAAAAACCAAUAUUAACGUAUUGGUGUUUAAUGGAUCAGUUGGUGUUCUUGUUUACCCGGUGGAAGGAAUUGACAAGUCUUUUGAUUUAUGGGUAAUGAAUGGAAAAGAAUGGACUAAACAAUUCAGUAUUGAAUCUAUUCCUGGAGUUGUCAACCCAUUGGGGUUUUGGAAAAAUAAUGAACUAUUUCUUUUAAAUACAAAUUAUGAAGUAGUCUUGUUUGAUCCCUCCACCCAAGAGCUUGGGAUCAAUUCUUACCUGGAUCAUCAUCGAGAGUACGUCUCCCUCUUUUUUUAUGUUGAGAGCCUGGUUUCAAUCAAUGGAAUACAAGAGCAUAGGGAUCAUAUAAUACGUCAACUAGUUGGAGAUGCAUCAAAUAAUAUAAAUAGAAAUAUAGAUCAAGUAGAUACUAAAUAUGAUGAUGGAUAGGGAACUUGAACAUAAAUGUGUAAGACCUAAUGAGCAUUUUUAUGUAGACUACAGUCACUUGUGAGCUUCUUAAUAUUACUGUUAUUAUUUGGUUUAUAUGUUUGAGAUGUUAUCCUUUUCAACUUUUCAAGCUCCCUUGCUUUCUUUAUCAAAGGAUUGACUGAUGUAGUCAAUUGAAAAACCCUUUUGAUGAUAAUUUUUAUUGAAAUUAGUUUAAUAUAUUCAAAAUGCUUAUAUCCAACGAAACAUUACAUUUGAUAAUGCAACAAUUAGUUUCUUAUCUUUUAGUUGGAUUUAUUCCUUGAAGGGUUGUUUGAGACUUGCUAACAUAGAAACGAUUUAUCACAAUCCCUAUUAAACAAUAGGGAAAUAUAAUAUAAUAUAAUAUAAUAAGAAGAAGCAAGGUAAAUAAGGAUUCUUGGAAACCAAGACUUCAACGAUCUAAUACAACUUCCUUGAUUCAAGGGAUUAGAUAAGGGUGAUUCGAUCUAAUCCGAUUCUCCAAAUAAGUUUCCCCAAGUAAUAUGAUCUUCAUUAAUGGGCUAGAUAUUGACACAUAAAUAAUUAUUAAUUUUAAAUAAAUAAAAUUGAAAAUCUUAAGUAUAAUUUGAAAUGGCUAGAUAAAUUUAAUUAUCACAAAGAUAAAUAACAUUAUCAUAAAUAUAAAUAUCAUUUCAAUAUAAUAAAGAAUAUUUAUCUUAAUAUUUAAAUUUUUUAUCAUUAGAUUUUUGAAAAUUGUUACAAUUUAAUUUAAUUUUUUUAUUUCAUUAAACUUCAAAAUUAUCAUAAAAUAUGUACUAUUUAACUUAAAUUUAAGAUGACAACAUAUAUAAUUCUUUUAUUUUAACAAAUCUAUAUAAAUGUCCACAAGUAUGGUUUAAAAUAAAGUUGGGGAAAAAGUGAAUAUUGUAAAAUCCACAUGAAAGAUGAAAUUUGUGUUGUUGAAGUCUACCACAACAUAUGAGGACUACAAUGAAUUGUUUUAAUGAAUUGUUUUAAUGUAUUUUGGAGUUGAAAUAAUCCACAAAAAAGAAUAUUAAACUAAAAAAAAUUGUUAAUUGGCACAUGGUUAAGCAUUAUUUUUUCCUUCUUUUGGAACCCAGUUUGAGCUUUGCUCAAAGAUGGAUGCAUCCAUUAAUUGAGCUAAAUAAGAACAGCCCAUGCAGUGUGUAUGGCGCCAUAAAUUUUACAAUUAAUGUUUUAAAAAAGUGUACAACUUGUAUAAUCACAUGGUUUACUGAAACCUGUCUGCAUUAGAUAUAGCAACAACAUUAAUUGUUUCUCGUCACAUGGUUUACUGAAAGGGAAAGAAAACAAUAGUCAUCAUCCCCAUUCUCAACUAUAAAAACCCUUGCAUAAUGGAGGUUCAGCAUUGUGCAAAAGCUAUCACUUAAACAAAUAAUGGCUUAUCUUCGACCAUUGAUCUUCUAUAUUCUGGCUGCUCUUGCAAUAUUCAUGCUUAUUUCUCCCUCCCAUUCCUCUUUAGAUAAUGUUAAUGACAGGGUUACUUUGUCACUGUACUAUGAAACAAGUUUAUGCCAGCAUUGUGCCUCCUUUAUCUCCAAUGACCUUGUCAAGGUCUUCCACACUGACCUCCAUACCAUUAUCAAUCUAAGAUUGGUCCCUUGGGGCAAUGUUGAAAUCCAUUGCCAGGUUUACAACUCCAUUCUUCAUUUUAAUGUAUUUUCAUUAUUAACUAAUGAAGUUCAAUUUCUUUUUGGUACUAUAACUAAUUAUAGUUUAUGCAACAAUGUGCAGCA
RNAcentral lists this long non-coding RNA (37126 nucleotides) under Gossypium barbadense (sea-island cotton). RNAcentral describes it as "long non-coding RNA (GBAR_LNC022918)". The stretch from base 11660 to 11746 matches the Rfam family "MIR7486 microRNA precursor family". Lineage: Eukaryota; Viridiplantae; Streptophyta; Magnoliopsida; Malvales; Malvaceae. The record is from RNAcentral.